RNAcentral lists this unclassified non-coding RNA (346 nucleotides) under soil metagenome. Its description in RNAcentral is "partial contains 5.8S ribosomal RNA, internal transcribed spacer 2, and large subunit ribosomal RNA". The stretch from base 1 to 119 matches the Rfam family "5.8S ribosomal RNA", at positions 35 to 154 of the family's 154-position model. The record is from RNAcentral.
GAUGAAAACGCAGUGAAAUGCGAUAAUUAAUGUGAAUUGCAGAAUUCAGUGAAUCAUCGAGUCUUUGAACGCACAUUGCGCCCCCUGGUAUUCCGGGGGGCAUGCCUGUCCGAGCGUCAUUGCUGCCCUCAAGCACGGCUUGUGUGUUGGGCUUCCGUCCCUGGCAACGGGGACGGGCCCAAAAGGCAGUGGCGGCACCAUGUCUGGUCCUCGAGCGUAUGGGGCUUUGUCACCCGCUCCCGUAGGUCCAGCUGGCAGCUAGCCUCGCAACCAAUCUUUUUAACCAGGUUGACCUCGGAUCAGGUAGGGAUACCCGCUGAACUUAAGCAUAUCAAUAAGCGGAGGA